RNAcentral lists this ribosomal RNA (824 nucleotides) under Streptomyces sp. RNAcentral describes it as "bacterial SSU rRNA". It matches the Rfam family "Bacterial small subunit ribosomal RNA", at positions 65 to 900 of the family's 1533-position model. The record is from RNAcentral. Lineage: Bacteria; Bacillati; Actinomycetota; Actinomycetes; Kitasatosporales; Streptomycetaceae.
AACGAUGAACCUCACUUCGGGAGGGGAUUAGUGGCGAACGGGUGAGUAACACGUGGGCAAUCUGCCCUGCACUCUGGGACAAGCCCUGGAAACGGGGUCUAAUACCGGAUACUGACCCGCUUGGGCAUCCAAGCGGUUCGAAAGCUCCGGCGGUGCAGGAUGAGCCCGCGGCCUAUCAGCUUGUUGGUGAGGUAAUGGCUCACCAAGGCGACGACGGGUAGCCGGCCUGAGAGGGCGACCGGCCACACUGGGACUGAGACACGGCCCAGACUCCUACGGGAGGCAGCAGUGGGGAAUAUUGCACAAUGGGCGAAAGCCUGAUGCAGCGACGCCGCGUGAGGGAUGACGGCCUUCGGGUUGUAAACCUCUUUCAGCAGGGAAGAAGCGAAAGUGACGGUACCUGCAGAAGAAGCGCCGGCUAACUACGUGCCAGCAGCCGCGGUAAUACGUAGGGCGCGAGCGUUGUCCGGAAUUAUUGGGCGUAAAGAGCUCGUAGGCGGCUUGUCACGUCGGUUGUGAAAGCCCGGGGCUUAACCCCGGGUCUGCAGUCGAUACGGGCAGGCUAGAGUUCGGUAGGGGAGAUCGGAAUUCCUGGUGUAGCGGUGAAAUGCGCAGAUAUCAGGAGGAACACCGGUGGCGAAGGCGGAUCUCUGGGCCGAUACUGACGCUGAGGAGCGAAAGCGUGGGGAGCGAACAGGAUUAGAUACCCUGGUAGUCCACGCCGUAAACGGUGGGCACUAGGUGUGGGCGACAUUCCACGUCGUCCGUGCCGCAGCUAACGCAUUAAGUGCCCCGCCUGGGGAGUACGGCCGCAAGGCUAAAAC